Molecule: microRNA, 21 nt
Filed under: Bos taurus (domestic cattle)
Lineage: Eukaryota; Metazoa; Chordata; Mammalia; Artiodactyla; Bovidae
Description: bta-miR-670
Gene: bta-miR-670
Source: miRBase by way of RNAcentral
UCCCUGAGUAUAUGUGGUGAA